This 279-nucleotide ribosomal RNA is filed under the name uncultured bacterium. Its description in RNAcentral is "partial 16S ribosomal RNA". It matches the Rfam family "Bacterial small subunit ribosomal RNA", at positions 506 to 784 of the family's 1533-position model. The record is from RNAcentral.
UGCCAGCCGCCGCGGUAAUACGGAGGGGGCUAGCGUUGUUCGGAAUUACUGGGCGUAAAGCGCACGUAGGCGGAUCAGUCAGUCAGAGGUGAAAUCCCGGAGCUCAACUUCGGAACCGCCUUUGAUACUGAUGGUCUUGAGUCCGAGAGAGGUGAGUGGAAUUCCUAGUGUAGAGGUGAAAUUCGUAGAUAUUAGGAAGAACACCAGUGGCGAAGGCGGCUAACUGGCUCGGUACUGACGCUGAGAUGCGAAAGCGUGGGGAGCAAACAGGAUUAGAUA